GAAGCAUCAAAGAGGCUUCCCCCCGCAGAGCUGGAGGAGGUGUCUGGGGAGAGGGAGGUCUUGGAAUCUUUACUGAGACUGCUCCCCCCAAGAACCAAUCUCAGCACAAGAUGAGGAGUAUACAUUACCAUCGGUUCCCCUGCGUGCUCUGGCUGCCACAAGACACUUCUCCUCUUCUCUUCUGGAUCUCUGGUACUGGCUCCAUAACAAACAACAGAGUCCCGCUCCUUUGGAACUUCACCGCUUCUUCUGGGCUAGGGCUGAACAGUGCCAGAGAAUCCAGUGAGCCCACCACUGCUGACGAUCAACUCCACGAUGCUGUAGUUCAAUAAACACUUUGAACUUUCCCAGUGUCUGUCUCGCCUUGAACAUUGGGCGUUCUGUUUUAAGAUCAUUACAAAACCUUAAGCCAUGUCUGGCUUUUCAGUUUAAGUAGACAGCGAUUACUUGGAAUGGAUGUUGAAAGUUUAGGAAACGGUCCCAAAACUCACACCUACAUUAGAUUUCACUAAGUAUUUCCUUGAGCUGUCUGCUGUGUUUCUUCGU
Cyprinodon tularosa is the source of this 546-nucleotide long non-coding RNA. RefSeq lists it as uncharacterized. The record is from RefSeq and is a predicted model, not a curated record. The transcript has 3 exons. Lineage: Eukaryota; Metazoa; Chordata; Actinopteri; Cyprinodontiformes; Cyprinodontidae.